Molecule: ribosomal RNA, 691 nt
Filed under: uncultured Bacilli bacterium
Lineage: Bacteria; Bacillati; Bacillota; Bacilli
Description: bacterial SSU rRNA
Rfam family: Bacterial small subunit ribosomal RNA
Source: RNAcentral
GGUGCUUGCACUGGUCAAUCUAGUGGCGAACGGGUGAGUAACACGUGGGUAACCUGCCCAUCAGAGGGGGAUAACAUCCGGAAACGGAUGCUAAAACCGCAUAGGUCUUCGAGCCGCAUGGCUUGAAGAGGAAAAGAGGCGCAAGCUUCUGCUGAUGGAUGGACCCGCGGUGCAUUAGCUAGUUGGUGAGGUAACGGCUCACCAAGGCCGUGAUGCAUAGCCGACCUGAGAGGGUGAUCGGCCACAUUGGGACUGAGACACGGCCCAAACUCCUACGGGAGGCAGCAGUAGGGAAUCUUCCGCAAUGGACGCAAGUCUGACGGAGCAACGCCGCGUGAGUGAAGAAGGUUUUCGGAUCGUAAAACUCUGUUGUUAGAGAAGAACAAGUGCUAGAGUAACUGUUAGCGCCUUGACGGUAUCUAACCAGAAAGCCACGGCUAACUACGUGCCAGCAGCCGCGGUAAUACGUAGGUGGCAAGCGUUGUCCGGAUUUAUUGGGCGUAAAGUGAGCGCAGGCGGUUCCUUAAGUCUGAUGUGAAAGCCUCCGGCUCAACCGGGGAGGGUCAUUGGAAACUGGGGAACUUGAGUGCAGAAGAGGAGAGUGGAAUUCCAUGUGUAGCGGUGAAAUGCGUAGAUAUAUGGAGGAACACCAGUGGCGAAGGCGACUCUCUGGUCUGUAACUGACGCUGAG